This 253-nucleotide ribosomal RNA is filed under the name uncultured bacterium. RNAcentral's name for it is "partial 16S ribosomal RNA". It matches the Rfam family "Bacterial small subunit ribosomal RNA", at positions 524 to 776 of the family's 1533-position model. The record is from RNAcentral.
UACGGAGGAUCCGAGCGUUAUCCGGAUUUAUUGGGUUUAAAGGGUGCGUAGGCGGCCUUUUAAGUCAGCGGUGAAAGUCUGUGGCUCAACCAUAGAAUUGCCGUUGAAACUGGGGGGCUUGAGUAUGUUUGAGGCAGGCGGAAUGCGUGGUGUAGCGGUGAAAUGCAUAGAUAUCACGCAGAACCCCGAUUGCGAAGGCAGCCUGCCAAGCCAUGACUGACGCUGAUGCACGAAAGAGUGGGGAUCAAACAGG